UACGUAGGGUGCGAGCGUUGUCCGGAAUUAUUGGGCGUAAAGGGCUCGUAGGCGGUUUGUCGCGUCGGGAGUGAAAUCCACUGGCUUAACUGGUGGCUUGCUUUCGAUACGGGCAGACUGGAGGUAUGCAGGGGAGAACGGAAUUCCUGGUGUAGCGGUGAAAUGCGCAGAUAUCAGGAGGAACACCGGUGGCGAAGGCGGUUCUCUGGGCAUGUCCUGACGCUGAGGCGCGAAGGCGUGGGGAGCGAACGGG
RNAcentral lists this ribosomal RNA (253 nucleotides) under uncultured bacterium. RNAcentral's name for it is "partial 16S ribosomal RNA". It matches the Rfam family "Bacterial small subunit ribosomal RNA", at positions 524 to 776 of the family's 1533-position model. The record is from RNAcentral.